Molecule: ribosomal RNA, 423 nt
Filed under: uncultured bacterium
Lineage: Bacteria
Description: bacterial SSU rRNA
Rfam family: Bacterial small subunit ribosomal RNA
Source: RNAcentral
UGAGGAAUAUUGGUCAAUGGGCGCAAGCCUGAACCAGCCAUCCCGCGUGCAGGAAGACGGCCCUAUGGGUUGUAAACUGCUUUUCCAGGGGGAGAAUUUUUCUGUCGUGACAGGAAUUGACGGUACCCUGGGAAUAAGCAUCGGCUAACUCCGUGCCAGCAGCCGCGGUAAUACGGAGGAUGCGAGCGUUAUCCGGAUUUAUUGGGUUUAAAGGGUGCGUAGGCGGAUUGGUAAGUCAGUGGUGAAAACCUGCAGCUUAACUGUAGACUUGCCGUUGAUACUGUCAGUCUUGAGUAUGGUCGAGGUAGGCGGAAUGUGUAAUGUAGCGGUGAAAUGCUUAGAUAUUACACAGAACACCGAUUGCGAAGGCAGCUUACUGGGCCAUUACUGACGCUGAUGCACGAAAGCGUGGGGAUCGAACAG